UACGGAGGGGGCUAGCGUUGUUCGGAAUUACUGGGCGUAAAGCGCACGUAGGCGGCUUGGUAAGUUAGAGGUGAAAGCCCGGAGCUCAACUCCGGAAUUGCCUUUAAGACUGCCUCGCUUGAACGUCGGAGAGGUGAGUGGAAUUCCGAGUGUAGAGGUGAAAUUCGUAGAUAUUCGGAAGAACACCAGUGGCGAAGGCGGCUCACUGGACGACUGUUGACGCUGAGGUGCGAAAGCGUGGGGAGCAAACAGG
RNAcentral lists this ribosomal RNA (253 nucleotides) under uncultured bacterium. Its description in RNAcentral is "partial 16S ribosomal RNA". It matches the Rfam family "Bacterial small subunit ribosomal RNA", at positions 524 to 776 of the family's 1533-position model. The record is from RNAcentral.